Molecule: ribosomal RNA, 512 nt
Filed under: uncultured bacterium
Lineage: Bacteria
Description: bacterial SSU rRNA
Rfam family: Bacterial small subunit ribosomal RNA
Source: RNAcentral
AGGACGAACGCUGGCGGCGUGCUUAACACAUGCAAGUCGAACGGGGUAGUAGCAAUACUAUCAAGUGGCGAACGGGUGAGUAACGCGUAGACAACCUGCCCUUGAGAUGGGGACAACGUUCCGAAAGGAGCGCUAAUACCGAAUGUUGUGGAGAAACUGCAUGGUUUCUUUACUAAAGGUGGCCUCUGUGUAUGCUACCACUCAAGGAGGGGUCUGCGUCUGAUUAGCUGGUUGGUGAGGUAACGGCCCACCAAGGCGACGAUCAGUAGCCGGUCUGAGAGGAUGAACGGCCACACUGGGACUGAGACACGGCCCAGACUCCUACGGGAGGCAGCAGUGGGGAAUCUUCCGCAAUGGGCGAAAGCCUGACGGAGCAACGCCGCGUGAGUGAAGAAGGUUUUUUCCGGAUUGUAAAGCUCUGUCUUUCGGGACGAAUGUGCUCCAUGUAAAUAAUGUGGAGCAAUGACGGUACUGAAAGAGGAAGCCACGGCUAACUACGUGCCAGCCGCAGC